Molecule: long non-coding RNA, 2364 nt
Organism: Gigantopelta aegis
Lineage: Eukaryota; Metazoa; Mollusca; Gastropoda; Neomphalida; Peltospiridae
Exons: 4
Source: RefSeq, a predicted model, not a curated record
AAUAUUAUGUGAUGCUUGAUGACAAUCGAACGAAUGUAACGUGUUCUACAUGGUGCAACUGUAACAGACCAGUGGGAAGUCUAUUAUUGUCUGUAAUGAAAUAGACUAGUGGAAAGUCUGGGUUAUUUUUACUGGCUGCAAUGCAUUUCAUUAUGUGCAUUAUAUGGUCGCACGUGCAUUGCGAGGGCAGUGAUCUCCAGCCAAUGGGAGACGGCUGCACUGCAGUGAGAGACAACUAAAAGUGGUUAGCGACGAGUGUUCGGGGUCUUCCGCUGGGAACGUGAUUGGGUCGGUAGGUAAAACAGUAUGAGUAAACGUUAGGUUAAUUGGGGCUGCGUGUGGUCGUAUUUUACUGUAGUUGUUAUUUAAUAUGUUCAACAGUGAACACUGCGAUUAUAUGUUAUGUUUUGUGUUUUGAUAAUUAUGUAUUUAAUAUUAUUAUUUCAAUUGGUGUUUGUGUUUUAUUACAUGUAGUAAUUACGGCAUGGGAUGAAUUUCGAAUCUGCGUGGAUGGGCGCGCGUGAGGGAGCCUCCAUCUCCUGUCAACAUUCACUUGUUGAGGAUUGAGGGGAGAUUGACGCUCACUCGUGGCUGUUCCGUCCUCGUUGAUGUCUUAUUAUUGUUCUAGAUUUAGGACGGUUACACAACAUUGGGUCACGACACAGAAAAUUUCCAAAAUGGCCGAUCAAGGCAUAUCUUUCGGGGUCAAUUUAAAUACACAUAGAUCACGUUGACAUCAUAAAUAAUACAUUUAAAUGCAAAAUAAAUAUUUUAAGAUGCCAAAUUGAUGCAUUUAUUACAGAAUUUUUUUUGUUAUUUCACCGAUGGGUACAGAUUUUUACAACGAUAGUAAUGCUUUUUUGGAGCGAUUUAGGUCACAUGACCAGUUUCACGUACUCUAAUAGGUCAGUAGUCUUUGUUUACAAAUAAUUUAGUUUUAAUUUGUUUAAUAAAGAUUUAUAAUAUUUUCUUCCUUCAUUUGUUUUACUGACAUUCCUUUCUUUACUCACAUUCCUUUCUUCUAUUUAUGUUAGUUUAUUUUAAUUGAUUAAUGACAUGUAUUACAAAGAUAAUUAUUAACAUUUUCACUUACCUUCUCGAGAUUCGAACUCCAGGUGACAGCUUGAGAGUCGUCAGCGUUAUCGAUUGAGCUAUUGAGGAAGUUACUUGAGACGGUCCAAUUUUUUAUGUCUUUCGUAUAACAUGAUUUUACGGAAAUACCCGAACGUUACCGAAAAUAUACGAUCAUAAUAAACAUGUAGAAUGUAUUAUCUGCACGACCAUUCACAUUUAUAAUUGAGGUGUCAAUUGAAUAAAAGGAAAUACAUUAGUGCGUGCACUUGCAUGCGUUUCAUGAAAAAGGCAUUACAUGUAUUUUCUGUGGAAGUAUAAGGUAAUAUAAAGGGUAAGUACUUGUUAUUGGCACAUGAUUUCUUUCAAAUGGCACAUAAGCGUAGUUCUGAUAGUCCUGAUACCGAAAUUGGGAAGAAAAAAAACGUAAAAUUCGGCCUUUUAAUUUUCAUAGUCUGUUUUCAAAGUUAGAUACACCUCAAAAGUCCAUAUCUUUUUGUCAAGAGUUUAAAUUAUUACCAAAAUUUGUUAAAUGUCCUACUUGUGAAGAUGAAUUAACGAAAUUAUUUGAAGUAAAAAGAAAAAAAAGUAAAAGGAUUGAUUUCAGAUUCCAAUGUAAUAAAACUUUGUGCCGAAAAAGUAAACAUCAAGUACAACUAAGAACUGGAAGCUGGUUCGCUGGGGCAAAACUUUCUUAUCGGAAAAGUAUACUAUUAGUGUAUUGUUUUAUAAAACAAAUGAGCUACGACGACGCAAUUAAUGAAACUUCUAUCUCUUCAACAGACGACAGUGACGAGGAUAAAGUACUGACUACAUCGAGAGAAACUGAGUGAUUACUACAGUUACUGCCGAGAAGUGUGUUCCUUUAUUGUUGAACAACAGACAACUCGGCAAAUUGGUGGCAAAGGCAAAGUCGUCGAAAUCGAUGAAGCCAAAUUUGGCAAAAGGAAAUACCACAGAGAUCCAACUACUGGUGCUUGCACCAAUCUGAUAGAGAACACCUGGUGGUGUAUAAAACGCCAAUUGCCACGAACACACACACGACGAACAUCAUUCGACCUUCAUUUGACAGAGUAUAUGUAUCGGUCUUUAAGAAAAGAAGGAGAACACAUGUUCCAACGUUUUCUGGCUGACCUAGCCCAACUCUAUCCUUGUUAAGAAAAAUCGUCAGCACAUUCUGGUCAUCAUAUUAUGGAAAUAUUUGUGACUGAAUCCCAUCUGAAUGUUGGAUGACAUAUAUCAAGAUGACACUGAACAGGACAUAACUGAGGAAAAUGGAUGUGAGAGAAUCCA